Molecule: ribosomal RNA, 326 nt
Filed under: uncultured eukaryote
Lineage: Eukaryota
Description: SSU rRNA
Rfam family: Eukaryotic small subunit ribosomal RNA
Source: RNAcentral
CAAUGGCGUAUAUUAAAGUUGUUGCAGUUAAAAGCUCGUAGUUGGAUUUCUGUUGAGGACGACCGGUCCGCCUCUGGGUGAGUAUCUGGCUCGGCCUUGGCAUCUUCUUGGAGAACGUAACUGCACUUGACUGUGUGGUGCGGUAUCCAGGACUUUUACUUUUUGAGGAAAUUUAGAGUGUUUCAAGCAGGUCGUACGCCUUGAAUACAUUAGCAUGGAAUAAUGAGAUAGGACCUUGGUUCUAUUUUGUUGGUUUCUAGAGCUGAGGUAAUGAUUAAUAGGGAUAGUUGGGGCGAUUCGUGAUUUUAAUGUCAGAUGGUGAAAGU